This 66-nucleotide transfer RNA is filed under the name Parcoblatta fulvescens. RNAcentral's name for it is "tRNA-Thr". It matches the Rfam family "tRNA". Rfam says of the family: Transfer RNA (tRNA) molecules are approximately 80 nucleotides in length. The record is from RNAcentral. Lineage: Eukaryota; Metazoa; Arthropoda; Insecta; Blattodea; Blattellidae.
GUUUUAAUAAUUUAAGUAAAAUAUUGGUCUUGUAAACCAAAAUUAAGGAAUAAACCUUUUAAAACU